GACGAACGCUGGCGGCGUGCCUAAUACAUGCAAGUUGAGCGCUGAAGGUUGGUACUUGUACCAACUGGAUGAGCAGCGAACGGGUGAGUAACGCGUGGGGAAUCUGCCUUUGAGCGGGGGACAACAUUUGGAAACGAAUGCUAAUACCGCAUAAAAACUUUAAACACAAGUUUUAAGUUUGAAAGAUGCAAUUGCAUCACUCAAAGAUGAUCCCGCGUUGUAUUAGCUAGUUGGUGAGGUAAAGGCUCACCAAGGCGAUGAUACAUAGCCGACCUGAGAGGGUGAUCGGCCACAUUGGGACUGAGACACGGCCCAAACUCCUACGGGAGGCAGCAGUAGGGAAUCUUCGGCAAUGGACGAAAGUCUGACCCAGCAACGCCGCGUGAGUGAAGAAGGUUUUCGGAUCGUAAAACUCUGUUGGUAGAGAAGAACGUUGGUGAGAGUGGAAAGCUCAUCAAGUGACGGUAACUACCCAGAAAGGGACGGCUAACUACGU
RNAcentral lists this ribosomal RNA (496 nucleotides) under uncultured bacterium. Its description in RNAcentral is "partial 16S ribosomal RNA". It matches the Rfam family "Bacterial small subunit ribosomal RNA", at positions 28 to 506 of the family's 1533-position model. The record is from RNAcentral.